This 87-nucleotide transfer RNA is filed under the name Enterobacteriaceae endosymbiont of Macroplea mutica. RNAcentral's name for it is "tRNA-Ser". It matches the Rfam family "tRNA". From Rfam's summary of the family: Transfer RNA (tRNA) molecules are approximately 80 nucleotides in length. Lineage: Bacteria; Pseudomonadati; Pseudomonadota; Gammaproteobacteria; Enterobacterales; Enterobacteriaceae. The record is from RNAcentral.
GGUGAGAUGGCCGAGUGGUUGAAGGCGCAUACCUGGAAAGUAUGUAUAUGCACAAACAUAUCAUGGGUUCGAAUCCCUUUCUCACCU